Molecule: transfer RNA, 90 nt
Filed under: Pseudooceanicola lipolyticus
Lineage: Bacteria; Pseudomonadati; Pseudomonadota; Alphaproteobacteria; Rhodobacterales; Paracoccaceae
Description: tRNA-Ser
Rfam family: tRNA
About the family: Transfer RNA (tRNA) molecules are approximately 80 nucleotides in length. Their secondary structure includes four short double-helical elements and three loops (D, anti-codon, and T loops). Further hydrogen bonds mediate the characteristic L-shaped molecular structure. tRNAs have two regions of fundamental functional importance: the anti-codon, which is responsible for specific mRNA codon recognition, and the 3' end, to which the tRNAs corresponding amino acid is attached (by aminoacyl-tRNA synthetases). tRNAs cope with the degeneracy of the genetic code in two manners: having more than one tRNA (with a specific anti-codon) for a particular amino acid; and 'wobble' base-pairing, i.e. permitting non-standard base-pairing at the 3rd anti-codon position.
Source: RNAcentral
GGGUCAGUGGCCGAGCGGUCGAAGGCACCAGUCUUGAAAACUGGCAGGCGUGGAAGCGUCUCGUGGGUUCGAAUCCCACCUGGCCCGCCA